GCCUGGCUGGCUCAGUUGGCAGAAUGUGUGACUCUUGAUCUUGAGGCUGUGGGUUUGAGCCCCAUGUUGGGUU
RNAcentral lists this transfer RNA (73 nucleotides) under Canis lupus familiaris (dog). It matches the Rfam family "tRNA". Rfam says of the family: Transfer RNA (tRNA) molecules are approximately 80 nucleotides in length. Their secondary structure includes four short double-helical elements and three loops (D, anti-codon, and T loops). Further hydrogen bonds mediate the characteristic L-shaped molecular structure. tRNAs have two regions of fundamental functional importance: the anti-codon, which is responsible for specific mRNA codon recognition, and the 3' end, to which the tRNAs corresponding amino acid is attached (by aminoacyl-tRNA synthetases). tRNAs cope with the degeneracy of the genetic code in two manners: having more than one tRNA (with a specific anti-codon) for a particular amino acid; and 'wobble' base-pairing, i.e. permitting non-standard base-pairing at the 3rd anti-codon position. RNAcentral also lists the same sequence under 2 other names. The record is from Rfam by way of RNAcentral. Lineage: Eukaryota; Metazoa; Chordata; Mammalia; Carnivora; Canidae.